This 1786-nucleotide long non-coding RNA is filed under the name Homo sapiens (human). Its description in RNAcentral is "HSALNT0307624". Lineage: Eukaryota; Metazoa; Chordata; Mammalia; Primates; Hominidae. The record is from RNAcentral.
AACGGAUUCUCCUACCUCAGCCUUCUGAGUAGCUUGGGACAGCCGUGCACCACCACGCCCAGCUAAUUUUUUGUUUGUUUGUUUUUGUACAGACAGGGUUUCAGCAUGCUGCCCAGGCUGGUCUUGAACUCCUGGGCUCAAGUGAUCCACCUGACUCAGCCUCCCAAAGUGCUGGGAUUAAAGGGAAUUUUCUGUUGGGUAUUGCUGCUCAUCUAGAAAACACCAGCUACCAAUAGAUGUCCUCUCUGUGCCGAAAUACUGCUUACCUCAGGGGAUAUUGGCUUGCUUGCUUCCUUUUCUGCCACCGCCCUCCCCCACACCCCCCACCAUGCAAAUCCCCCUGGGAAAGAAGAAAGUUGGACAGGAACAAGAUAGGUUAGACACUUACAAAUCAACUCAUCAACAAGUCACAGAAGGCAUAAUUUUAAUUCUGAAAGAGAAUAUAAAUCCUAUGAGCCCUGGCAAUGUCCACAUUGAAAUUUAUGACAAUAGUUUGGGAGGUGGAAGCAGAGAAAGAGACCUGAUGGGCGUGUGGGAACCCUACUAUUAAAUAGCACAGAGGGAAGAGGAACUGUUUUAAGGUGAAAGACUACAGAAUAAAGUUUUGAGAAUAUUAUUUAAAGUCCUGAUGGUAACCGAUAGAAAACCUAGAAAUAAGAUUGUAUCUGACUAAAUAUGGGACAAGUCAGGAGGAGUGUAGAGUAAUAUUGUGUGACUGAGCACAAUCCCCACAUUUGGUAGCCCCUGAGAUGGACUCCCGUGAUCCCUGACCCGAGCUAUUGUAACACUUUGUAAUCCCAUCCGUUUGACCAUAGACCAGACUUACUGACUUCUAACAAAUAGGAUACAACAGAAGUGUUGAGAUGUCACUUCCCAGAUUAGUUUACGCAGAAACUUUGGCUUUAUCUGAGGCACCCACUCUAUUGCUCUCCGGAUUGCUCCAAGGGAAGACAGCUGCCAUUUGAUGAGCUGCCCACAUGACAGAGAACAGGCCAAUAGCCCUCAAAGAAUUGAAACCUACCAACCAGGGGAGUGAGAUUGGAAGCAUAUAUUCCUUCGAUUAAGAGUUCAGAUGAGAAGACAGUUCCUGCCAAUACCUUGAUUGCAACCUUAUGAGAAAUCUUGAGGUGGAGACCUAGCUAAACCAUGCCUAGAUUCCCGACUCACAGACUGUGAGAUAAUAUACUAAAAAUACAUCACUAAUUUAGAAUAAAAAUCAAACAAGCUGUCGAAGAAUGUACACAAAAGUUGAAAAAAUAUUACACCAAAGAUGAUAGACAAAGCACGGCAAUCCAUUCUAAGAAAAGAGGUAUUUGCAAGGGCAAAUGAGAACAAAUGGAGCCAAAGCAAUAAAUUAAGAGAGGAAAAUUUUUGUAAGCUAUAAAAAUGAUCUGAGCUUGUAGUCAAAAGGAGUCAAGAUAUUGCAUGCAACAUUGAUGAGUAGAGACCCAUGCUUAGAAAUCAUCUGAAAAAAAGUAUUUUAGAAAUAAAGGGAGUAAGCCUGUAAAUGUUCAGGAAGAAUACAUGGAAUUGAUAUUUUUUAAAAUAACUAAAAUUCAUUCUCCUCCAAUACACUGGCCACAAAAAAGUGAAGCAACUUUUAUAUGAAAUGAAAAAAAGUGGUUGUCUUCUAAAGUUGUGCACAAAAGCCACUGAAAGACAUGCUCAGACAUAAAAGGGCUAUGAAAGUAAACAACUAUUAACUCUUCUUUUAAAAAAUAUGUAUAAACUGUAUUUAAUUGAAUGAGCAAUAAAAUAUUAAGAAAAUGGGAUACAUAAGUCUGCG